GGGCCGGUAGCUCAGCUUGGUGGAGCGUUCGGCUGAUAACCGAACGGUCGAGAGUUCAAAUCUCUCCCGGCCCA
RNAcentral lists this transfer RNA (74 nucleotides) under Candidatus Bathyarchaeota archaeon. RNAcentral describes it as "tRNA-Ile". It matches the Rfam family "tRNA". Rfam says of the family: Transfer RNA (tRNA) molecules are approximately 80 nucleotides in length. Their secondary structure includes four short double-helical elements and three loops (D, anti-codon, and T loops). Further hydrogen bonds mediate the characteristic L-shaped molecular structure. tRNAs have two regions of fundamental functional importance: the anti-codon, which is responsible for specific mRNA codon recognition, and the 3' end, to which the tRNAs corresponding amino acid is attached (by aminoacyl-tRNA synthetases). tRNAs cope with the degeneracy of the genetic code in two manners: having more than one tRNA (with a specific anti-codon) for a particular amino acid; and 'wobble' base-pairing, i.e. permitting non-standard base-pairing at the 3rd anti-codon position. The record is from RNAcentral. RNAcentral also lists the same sequence under 1 other name. Lineage: Archaea; Thermoproteati; Candidatus Bathyarchaeota.